GGGAACGUGGUGCAAUCCGGCUAACAUUGGGGCCUCCAGAGCCUUAGAUCUGGGUUCAAAUCCCAGCGUUCCCA
This 74-nucleotide transfer RNA is filed under the name Nanobdellota archaeon. Its description in RNAcentral is "tRNA-Trp". It matches the Rfam family "tRNA". Rfam says of the family: Transfer RNA (tRNA) molecules are approximately 80 nucleotides in length. Their secondary structure includes four short double-helical elements and three loops (D, anti-codon, and T loops). Further hydrogen bonds mediate the characteristic L-shaped molecular structure. tRNAs have two regions of fundamental functional importance: the anti-codon, which is responsible for specific mRNA codon recognition, and the 3' end, to which the tRNAs corresponding amino acid is attached (by aminoacyl-tRNA synthetases). tRNAs cope with the degeneracy of the genetic code in two manners: having more than one tRNA (with a specific anti-codon) for a particular amino acid; and 'wobble' base-pairing, i.e. permitting non-standard base-pairing at the 3rd anti-codon position. Lineage: Archaea; Nanobdellati; Nanobdellota. The record is from RNAcentral.